This 498-nucleotide ribosomal RNA is filed under the name uncultured bacterium. RNAcentral describes it as "partial 16S ribosomal RNA". It matches the Rfam family "Bacterial small subunit ribosomal RNA", at positions 30 to 523 of the family's 1533-position model. The record is from RNAcentral.
AUUGAACGCUGGCGGCAUGCCUUACUCAUGCAAGUCGAACGGUAACAGGUCUUCGGAUGCUGACGAGUGGCGAACGGGUGAGUAAUACAUCGGAACGUGCCUAGUAGUGGGGGAUAACUACUCGAAAGAGUGGCUAAUACCGCAUGAGAUCUACGGAUGAAAGCAGGGGAUCGCAAGACCUUGUGCUACUAGAGCGGCCGAUGGCAGAUUAAGUAGUUGGUGGGAUAAAAGCUUACCAAGCCGACGAUCUGUAGCUGGUCUGAGAGGACGAUCAGCCACACUGGGACUGAGAAACGGCCCAGACUCCUACGGGAGGCAGCAGUGGGGAAUUUUGGACAAUGGGCGCAAGCCUGAUCCAGCAAUGCCGCGUGCAGGAUGAAGGCCUUCGGGUUGUAAACUGCUUUUGUACGGAACGAAAAGCCCCGGGUUAAUACCCUGGGGUCAUGACGGUACCGUAAGAAUAAGCACCGGCUAACUACGUGCCAGCCGCCGCCGUAA